GUGAAAGGUCCCAGCCAGGGUUCAGAGAACACAGGCAGUUAAUACUAAGCCACCAUUAUGAUCUCAGGGAACUGUUUUCAUGAUUCUGAUUGCUUCAACAUCUCCUGAACCAUGAGUCAGACACUACUAGGAAUUUUCAAUACAGGACCAUUAAGGCACAACCCUUUUAUAAGCCUGCAGUGUUUGGGGGAAAGACAGAUAAGACCUUAACCAUGGGAUGCCUUGACAGACCAGCUGCUUCUGUUAGGUGCUUUAUGCAGUAGUGCAUCUGGUCCUAACAAAAGUUUCACGAGCCCCACACUGGGAAGCACGGUUCACUCUGGAUUACCUGCCCCGUUUUCCCUUAGUGAGCAGAAGAUUUGAGUCCCCCACCGAAGCUGAUGCACUUUCUACCACACCAUCCUGCCUUUCUACAGCAGGCGAGGUUUCUGUUUCCAUCUCCACCCACAGGAAACCUUGCUCCACUGUGUGUACACAAUGCGCACGCUCUAUUUAUGUUUGCCCGUUUUCCCUUAUUCCAUCAGCACCAUCCGGCCUGCGCGAGCUAGUGUAUAUUGUAAACGCACUGUCAUUUCCUAUUUAUAGCCCUGCACUCCCUUCCCAAUGCCCAGUCCUGUGGGACGUGAUGUUGGUGCUAUGUGUCCUAGUAGGACACUGUGGUCUGAGUCCCUCUUACUCCUUUAUGAUUUAUAGUUCCAGAUGCAUCUUGGUGAUCACAAACUCCAUCAUGGAAUACUUCAUUUCGUAUCGUGCUGGAUGGUUUCCCAAGUGCAUGCAGUGGUGCUGUCUCCUCUGGUCCCUCAUGGGUUUCCUCAGAUAUAUAAGCUCUGUGAGGAAGGAGCAUGCGCUCAGUUCACAGAGCCUCACCUGAUGCCGUGUGCACAAGAAUCAAGGUGAACCGUUUAAGAUCUCAGUAAUACCUUUAAGAAUCCUUCAGUAUCUGCAGUAGCAAUGGCACCCAUAAUUCCAGGAUACACCAGAUUUUUUAAAAAGUGGGCUGGGGUGCAGCUCAGUGGUAGAGCACUUGCCUGGCAGGAGUGAGGCCCUGGGUUCCAUGCUCAACAUUAAAAAAAAAAAAAAAUUAAAGUGAAACCCUGC
This 1098-nucleotide long non-coding RNA is filed under the name Marmota monax (woodchuck). Lineage: Eukaryota; Metazoa; Chordata; Mammalia; Rodentia; Sciuridae. The record is from RNAcentral.